This 431-nucleotide ribosomal RNA is filed under the name uncultured bacterium. RNAcentral describes it as "bacterial SSU rRNA". It matches the Rfam family "Bacterial small subunit ribosomal RNA", at positions 958 to 1392 of the family's 1533-position model. The record is from RNAcentral.
AACGCGAAGAACCUUACCAAGGCUUGACAUAUAGCGAAAAGUGGCAGAGAUGUCAUGUCCGCAAGGGCGCUAUACAGGUGGUGCAUGGUUGUCGUCAGCUCGUGUCGUGAGAUGUUGGGUUAAGUCCCGCAACGAGCGCAACCCUCGUUCUGUGUUACCAGCAUUCAGUUGGGGACUCACAGGAGACUGCCGGGGUCAACUCGGAGGAAGGUGGGGAUGACGUCAAAUCAUCAUGCCCCUUAUGUCUUGGGCUACACGCAUGCUACAAUGGCCGGUACAAAGUGCUGCGAGAUCGUAAGAUUGAGCGAAUCACAUAAAGCCGGUCUCAGUUCGGAUUGAGGUCUGCAACUCGACCUCAUGAAGUCGGAGUUGCUAGUAAUCGUAGAUCAGCAACGCUACGGUGAAUACGUUCCCGGGUCUUGUACACACCG